AGACCUCUAUUGUAAAAAAUAAUAUCCGCAACAAGACCUUUCUUGUAAAAAGAAUCCGCAACACAAUCUCUGUUGCAAAAGUAUUCCGCAACAUAACCUCCGUUGCACAAAAAUCCGGCAACACAACCUCUGUUGUACAAAAAUCCCGCAACACAACCUCUAUUACAAAUGUUUCUGCAACAAGGUCUUUGUUGCAAAGUAGAGAUAAGGCGUUGACCCCACUAGAUCUAUGUCAGAUCCCACGGCUUGCGAGGCGACGGCGGCGGAUGCGUAGCAGCCCCCAUUCUUUAUACACUACACUUUUUGGCAAACGAAUUAAACUUCUUUAUUCAGAAUUCGAUCUGACUGAGAGAGUGAGUGGUCUCUUCACUGGGCCUGGCCAAAGGCCCAACAGUGUUUUGAGGGAGGCCGAAGGCAACGGUGUUUUGAGGGAGGCCGAAGGCCCAACUUACUUUACUUACUUCUAUCUUCAUGCUUGUCAAUGUCUCGAAAAAAUAAAUCUUCAUGCUUUGGCUGCCGAUUGCUGCACCUCGCCGGCCCGCUUCGGCGCCGGCAGUGCCGCCGUCGCCCUCCCCCGCCACCGCGCGGCUUUGGAGCACCCCCUACCAAAACACGAGACCGUUCCGCCCGGCACCACCUCGCCGCCCACCACCGCCCCGCACGAGCGCCCAUUCCCCAACCCUCGUCGGGGCCGCCGGUCGACAGACCAACCACGGCUAGGAGUCUCUGGGAAAGCCAAGGCGAUCAACUUGGAAGAAGCACUUUGGUUGGUGCCAGUUCGCUGUCCUCGUGGUCGAUGGCCAACACUCUGUCUUCAUGGUUCAGCGGCACCUGUGACUGAUGCCGUCGGCUGUGUUACUGAGAUAUCCUAACAUCCGCCUCAAUGGCUCUGCUCUGUGCAGCCAUUGGAUACUUGUGUCUUAUCGUCUCUUUUCAAGUUAACCUGCAGACUCGGUUGUUUACCAGCAUGUAAACCGUCUCAGAAUUUGCAUCUAUCGAAGUUGUUGUGCUCUUGCAUUACGGCUAUUGUUUGGACUUUUGGAGGUUUUUCAAGGCUCACCACAUGACAUUCUGCGGUAUCUUAAGGUCUUCUUCAAGUCAAUGAACACCAUAUGAAGGCCCUUCUUUUGCUCUCUAUAUCUCUUCAUAAGUUGCCGUAUCAAGGAAUUGACUUACAUGGUCGACCGCUCAAUCAUGAAAUCAAAAUGAUUUUUUGUCACACUUGUCAUUCUUCUUAAACGGUGCUCAAUAACUCUCUCCCCCAGCUUCAUUGUAUGGCUCAUCAACUUAAUUGCAUGGUAAUUAGUACAAUUUUGAACCUUGUUCUUGAAGAUUGGUAUUAAUAUACUCAGCCAGAAAAAAAUAUGGUUGAAAAGUUUAGUA
Molecule: non-coding RNA, 1383 nt
Organism: Aegilops tauschii subsp. strangulata
Lineage: Eukaryota; Viridiplantae; Streptophyta; Magnoliopsida; Poales; Poaceae
Source: RefSeq, a predicted model, not a curated record